Heterocephalus glaber (naked mole-rat) is the source of this 5269-nucleotide non-coding RNA. The record is from RefSeq and is a predicted model, not a curated record. NCBI's taxonomy places the organism in Eukaryota, Metazoa, Chordata, Mammalia, Rodentia, Bathyergidae.
CAGGGGGCACCGGAGAGCAGGGGCGCUUGCUCCACCUGCGCGCGGCUCAAGGGCUCUGGAGGCUUAGCGGCAAGGGGUGAAUAGGAUGAAGAAUCGAGCUAAUAAUAGGAGCCGGGAUGCUGACUGCAAACUCGGCAGGGAGACAACAGUUCUUAUGAUGUCCGCCUGGAGGCUUACACAAGACUUCCUGAAGAAAGGAUUCCAAUAAAACCGAGCAUCAUGGCACAGGUGGUCAUCCCAGUACUCAAGGAGGCUGAGGCAGAAAGAUCACAAGUUUGAGCCCAGCCUGUCUCAAAAACAAAUACACAAAGGAUUCCACCAAAAAUAAGUGUGGAAUUACUGAUAUAUUCUGGACAGAUGAUGUCUACAGAUGAUGCUGUCACUCUGAAGAGUCAGGACCACACAGCACAUUCGUGGUUCAGACUUCCCAGGGGCCCAGUGACUGCCUUGUACCUCAACUACAACCUGACCUGGCACAAGUGCAAUUAGAGCAGUGAUCGCCUGAAUUCAUUGUCAGAUGGGGAGGAGGUUGUGUGAAAUUGGCUGUGACUGUCUCCUGAGUCCCCAGGAAUUAGAGAUAAGAAGGAACCCUGGUGUUUCACAUUGCAAUUAUUUGCUGUUGGUAGCAACUAAUAAAAUAAUGGGCCAGGGCUCAAAUUCUAAAGCCAGGCAGACCCAAUAUGUCACUGAGCCUUUCUUUCCUCAUGAGGAGAUUGGGAACAAUAACCUGGCUUCCUUCAAUGCCUGUAGAGAAUUAAGUGAUUAGACACAUUUAGAACACUCAGGACAGCCCCUGGGACAUGAGAAGUACUAAUGUGUUUAUUGUUGUUGUUAUUAGGAUGUGGUGCUUAAGCAGGGAAACUUGCCUUAUUAAGCUUCAAAAUAUUUCUGGUAUUUGUAAGACACAAAAGAUCUAUUUGGGAAAAGAGUACAUGAGUGGGUACAUAAUGAUUAGAAUUUGUAAAAGAUUGGUAGUUUGUCAUUUCACCAUCAUUGGUGAUAAGGGGGGUAUAGCAGCCAUCAGUGACACUAGAUGACACUGGAGAGAAGAUCUGACAGGGAGAACAUUUUGAGUGGUAAAGAAAAUCUAUACUGUGAUAAAUGAGAUCAUUAUGUAUAUCAAAAGUAUAGCAAUAAAAUUAAUUUAAAAAAGAAAAUCUCAAAGAACAUAGUGGUUAGGGUGGAGUGCCAAUUUGAUUGGCUUUGGGAUCUGCCUGGGGCUUUGGUGGAGAACACUCCUGGGUGGGUCAUCAAAGUGUGACGUUGGGGUCUGUGUCUGGUCCCUCUCCCCUUCCUCUCUGGCACUGUCCCUCUGUUCUGCUUCCUGGGCUCCUUGAACCAGGCAGCUUUGCCCCAGCCCACCCUUCCACCAUGAUGCUUCUACCUUAGAGCCAGCUGACUGUGGGCUGAAUCCCUUUAAAAUGUGAGCCAACAGUGGUUUUGCUGCCUGCUGUGCAAGCACAAGGAUCCGAGUUUGAUCCCCGGUACCCCCCCAAAAUAAAUUAAUUAAAUUAAAUAAAAUGAAAUGUGAGCCAAAUUAAACUUCUCCUCCUUAAGUUGUGGGUGUCCAGUAUGGUGUCCCAACAACCAGAAUAGCUGACAUACAAAGGGCCAGGGGCGUUCAGGAUUUCUCCUAUCUUGUGACUUUUUCUCUGGAAAUGCACUCUGAGACCACCAUAAUUUCUAUCAGUGCAAGUGGUCCUGAGAGGAGUUUCUUUUCAAACCUUUAUCUUAAAUGUAUCUUUUUAAACCUUUGACUUAAAGAUCUGGGAUCAGGUUUAGGCCAAGAAAACGAAAGGUCAGAAAGCUUAUUCAUUUUCCUAGAAGCCUUCUACAUAGAGCUGUUGACAUGUUUGCAGGCAAUUGGUGUUGAAUUAGUGCAUGUAUGAAUGAAGGAAUGGUGGGGAGCCCUUCCAUGGGGAGGGUACAGCACAGCAAGGAUCCAGAAGUUUAAUUCCAGCCAGCCUUCCUAUUGAAGACCCCUCCUUCACAGAUGAAUGAACUGUGAAAUGAAGUGAUCCAGUUAAACACACACAAAGCUUAGUGGAAUCACCACAAGAAUCAGACAUACCACAUUACAUCCCCUCCCCUAAUACCAGCAUGGAAGACCAACAUUCUGAAACAGGCCACUGUAACUGGAGAUUCCUGCAUUUGACCCCAAAACACAAAACAACCCAUGACUCUCAGGAGCAGUAAGUACCCCUUGUGACAGCUCCGUAGCUCUGUAUUUAUUUAUUUCUCACUUCUUGCAAAAACACUAUCAGCAUUCAAUCAAGCCUCAAAGAAAAGGGUCAGGAGGCAAGUGGUUUAAACUGCCUAAACUAAACAGUCCUUUCCCGUGAAAACUAUUUUCUUUCUCUCGAGGCCAAACUGUUGUUCUCAAUACUGUGAGGAAUACACAAACGAGGGUGAGCUGAGGCAUGAGUCAGGGUGAGUUGUUACCAUGCUAAUUUCUCUCCAUGACACGACAUCACAGCACCUCUUUGGAAAUGAAGACAAUGAUGAGAGUGUUCUCGGCACACUGGUAAGAUCCUUGCACAAAACUAUGAAACUCAUAGCCUCUACUGACUAUUUUGAGGCUGGCAUUCUUAUCUUCUGGCCUGAAUGCUCUGAAAUACAAGGUCAAGAGCUACUUUGGGGGGGGAUUUAAGGAAACAGCAAGAUUCACCAUAUGCCUUCAAAAUUGUCAUUCCUAUAAAGGGAACUUUGGUAUAGAAAAUGUAAUGCUAGAAGAUUAUUUUCCCUGUGAGUUCAAAUUGAGACUCAGAAACAUUCAAGAGCCCUUUAUGCAUCAUUUAUACCCUUAUUUUUCCCCUAAGAAGGACUUUUUCCCAAUGGCUGUCUGCAUGCCUUGAAAGAGCCAUUAUCCUGUUUUGUGAUACCACUAUCUAUUGCCAGGCAGAGGUGCUGGUGCCAGACUAAGAAAUACAUGCACAUUCUUCACAUCUCUGGAAGUUGGCUGGCUCUCAGCAAGAGCAUGGGCCUCCUGGUGUCAUUCUCAAGAUUGAGUUUGUAUCUGUCAUGCAUCAAUAACAAUUCUGGCAAUCUUUUAUCAAUUGUUCACUCAGCCCAAGUACUGUUCCAAGUGAUUUGUUGGUGUUAGUCAUCAUACUAAGCCUGCCAGGUAAGUAGUAGUAUCUCUAUUUUAUAGUUGAGAGAGUAGAAGCAUAGAAGGGCAAUCACUUACCCAAAGCCACAUGGCCAGUAAGUGACAGAGCCAGGAAUCUGAGGCAAAUUGUAUGCUCUAGGAGAGCCCAUGCUAGUGCAUAGCCACUUCUAUAUCCGGCUGGCCCAGUCUCUUAUCUGAAGAGGCUAUUUAGCAGAGUCACCAUCUAGGCCACUGUCCUACAGAAAUCUUACUUGCAUCUCCCACUAUUGUUUCACUGAUAGGUCCUGCCUCCCUCAAACCCCUGGAAGUCUGCAGUGGCCUGAGUCAUCCAGCUGGGCAGCCUGUGCUUUGCCUACAAACAAGUUGUGGGGUUCCUUAUGAAAGGAGGAAAUGAAUCAGAAGUUCAGUGCAAUGUCCUGUAGUGAUUUCUUACCAUUCACAAUUCGUUGUCCAAUUUGGGUGAUUCAUAGUACCAGGAUUCUAAGGGCAGCUCCUGCAUGAUCAGGCAGCUCUGUGGCCACAGGCUGUGUGCACAAUUCGAGGCACCCACCUUGCAAAUUCCUAGAGUUGAGAGGGAUUUCAAUGGAAGUGGGUGACAGCAAGAAUUACCACACCCAGAAUAAACUUCAGCCACAUGCCCUGGUGAGGGAUGUACCUGGGAACAGUAAGAGGACGUGUUGCUAUAUUAUUUACAAGAACAAUUUCAGGACCAUUUGUCCAGAGCCUGAAGUCCAAAGUAAGAUUUAAGAGCAAGGAGCCUUAUACUCUUUGAAUAUGUCAUUCAGACCUUGUGCAUAAUACAUUCCUAGUGAAUGAUUUUUGAAUAAAAAAAUUAUUAUUUAAUGCAUUAUGGAGUUUUUCAUGAACAUCUCUUAUUAAAUGAUACCACCAUGGUUGAAGGAAAGGAUCAGAUUAUGUUCAUUUCACACAUUGGUUAUAGAAGUAUUUGUAAAAUCUUGUCAUCUCAUCAUCAUUGUAGACAGCCACUAUGGAUAUGAAAGCUGAAGACCAGUACACAGUGAUCUCUCCUCUACCAUGCCACUUCCCCUCAGAACGCAUGCAGAGGUUGCUCUCCAUGGGAAGAACAGCAGCUCAUGUGGAAGGUGCUUGGCACCCCUGCUACCUCUAACGUGUGUCCAAUUUAGAAGAUUCUUGGCCUCUGAAGACAGGCUAAGGGACAAUGGCCCAUCUUGCAGAUGUCACAUCCUGUCCUUCAGGAUUGCCAGUUCAGUCUGUACCUCACCUUCAGCACUGACAUCAUGAGUGAUCUGGAAUGAGGACAAGGACAAUGCUGGCGGUUCUGCUUACUGCUGGUAGCAUCCUCGUUCCUUCACUUUACUGCACAUAUUAAGCAAGCUUACCCUUGAAUCUGUGAUAAAUUCUGGAAUGAGCAUUGGCUAGAAACAGCUACAGAAUGAUUUCAGAAAAGUCAGGAGAGACAUUUUAAGAAUACUAUUUAGAGAAAUGAAAAUAAACCAGAACUAGGAAGACCCCACGUUUUGAUUUAUGACUGUACUGUGUCCCUUAAUAACUUUGGGCCAUGUACAAACAGCUUAAUCUUCCAGUUUCCUUAUCUUUUAGAUGAAGGUGAGUACAAUCCCCAACACAUAAGAUUGCUGUGAAUUUAGAUAACACAUGGAAAUCCCACAGGGCAGGCUACUCAGCAUAUAAUAUGUGCUUAGCAAACUGUACAUACGUUUCUGUGAAUGUGCACUCAGUGACUACAGAAGCCAUGAACAAGCAUCCUAAUUUUAUACCACACUUCAGGAUCAUAAGAAGGUCACUUACAUAUCUCUUGGUGUCAGAUUUUCUUCUGAGAAAAUGAUGUACUCUUAUGGUUUAGAUCUCAAAUGUCCCCCCAAAGGUUCAUAUAAUCAUAGGUGGGGUUUUGGAAGGUACCUGGAUCACUGGGGACUCUACGGUGAAUUUGCUUUUAUAAGGGGGGGCCUGGUAGGAAGAAGUGGGUCACUGGGGCUGUGAACUAGAAGGGUGUAUGUCUUUUCUCGGCUCCUCCCUUCCCUCUGCUCCCUGGCUGCCAUGACAUGAGCAGCCUUCCUCUGAGGCAGGCCCUUCCAAUAUGCUGUUUCUGUGUUUGAGUUUGCUAACCACUGACUGAAACUUCUGAAACUAUGAGCCAAAAUAAACUUCUCCUUUGAGUUA